RNAcentral lists this long non-coding RNA (1255 nucleotides) under Capra hircus (goat). RNAcentral describes it as "lncRNA (ENSCHIG00000004905.1)". The record is from RNAcentral. Lineage: Eukaryota; Metazoa; Chordata; Mammalia; Artiodactyla; Bovidae.
AGGAGCUCGGGUUCUGCCGGAAGGGGUGGGGCCGAGUGAGGUCAGGCUACAGCAGUGGGAGGGGCGUGAGGUCAGCCUGCGGCAGUUGGUGGCAUUCCCACACCCGUCAGGGGAGAGCCGCCUGCCUGAGAAGGAGGGCACUGCUGAGCCCAGGGGUUGAGAGCGACAGUUCCUGCCGUGGUCCCGGAGCUCCACCUGAGACUGGAGGGAAGCCAUCUGCCUGUUGAUCAAAGAAGAGAAGGAGAACACGGAGCAGCGGGCUGAGGAGACUGAGAGCAGGGAGGGCAGGGGGAGCUUAGGCAGCCUCCCUCGUUUUAAAUCAGUGAGCUCCCUCAACCUGCAUCCCGCCUCCUCAGGUGCCAGCUCCUGCCUGCCCCUGCCCAAGCCCAGAAGGAGGCAGCACCGCCCGGCACGGGAAGGAGACCGGCUGGGCAUCCUGACUCGGCUGCCAGCUUUACAGGAAGAGGUAGGAGAUGACAAGACCGCCAUCAAAUGUGAAACGUCGACCCCUGCCUCGCCGUGGUCCCUUCGGCUGGACCGCCUGCACACAGGGUCGCUGUGCACAGCCACCCACAGGGACAUCAGGGACGCCCACAACUCGACAGGCUCUCAGGACAACCCCGGGAACAACCCCAGCAGCAGCACCAGCAGGCAGGACUCGCUGCACAAAGCCCCGAAGAAGAAGGGCAUGAAGUCCUCCAUCGGCCGCUUGUUUUGCAAGAAGGAAAAGGGCCGGCUUGAAUACCCCGGCAAGGAGGCGUUAGGACCAGUGACACGUGUUUGGAAACAGCCUAAGUGCUCAUCAGUGAAUGGUGAAGUGCAAUCUGUGGACACCCCACAAGGAACAGCCUGCCCUCCUUCCUGCCACCUUCCCCAUCCCCAGGAGCUCAUCAGGGGUUCUGCUCGUGUCCCCUCACCCCACCCCACAGCCACGCAGGUCCUCCUGGGGUCCCCUCAUCACACAGGGUUAUCAUUAGGCCCUCAUCUCGCUUGGCUUCUUCUCCUUGAGGACAGGGUAUGUUCCUGCCUCCUCAGCCACAAAUUUGUUGAGUCUUGUUUGUGCUGGGUGUGGGAUUUACAGGGGUAAGUAGAGCAGAUGUGGUCUGGAGCACAGUUAAGUGACGAGAGAAAAAGGAGCAGGUUAUUAAAUGCUAUCCGUAUUGUUAAUAAAUACAACGCUGAGAUGGAUGGUACAUGAUUAUAUACCAGAUGCUGUGUGUGCUCCUUACCAAGCAGGUGCUGUCCCCUCCCAAUU